AUGGUAGUAAUCAUGUCUUUCUUCUCCUUGUAUGCACUAGCAAUGCUCUUUCUGUUUUCAUCAAAUAAGAGGAAGGGGUAUAUUAUUACGAACAUGAAAAUAGUACUUCUUUCGUCAAGUGAAUACAACAGCAAUAGGAAGCAAUGUAUACCAUACAAUGCCAUGUUACUAUACAUGAAAAUAGUACUUCUUUCGUCAUGUGAAUACAACACCAAUAGGAAGCAAUGUAUACCAUACAAUGCCAUGUUAUUAUACAUGAAAAAUAGUGAUGCUACUUCCAAUACUGGAUCACAUUGCUCGACUUCCUCUCAGAAUUUGCAGAGGUUAGACAUCAAUUGGAAAACAAAGUCAAAAGCCUAA
Molecule: ribosomal RNA, 360 nt
Filed under: Triticum aestivum (bread wheat)
Lineage: Eukaryota; Viridiplantae; Streptophyta; Magnoliopsida; Poales; Poaceae
Description: partial small subunit ribosomal RNA
Source: RNAcentral